CCUUGGAACAGGACGUCAUAGAGGGUGAGAAUCCCGUAUGUGACUGGACAGGCACCCUUUGUAAAGCUCCUUCGACGAGUCGAGUUGUUUGGGAAUGCAGCUCUAAAUGGGAGGUAAAUUUCUUCUAAAGCUAAAUACCGGCCAGAGACCGAUAGCGCACAAGUAGAGUGAUCGAAAGAUGAAAAGCACUUUGGAAAGAGAGUUAAAAAGCACGUGAAAUUGUUGAAAGGGAAGGGCUUGCAAUUAGACUUGCCCGCAGUUGUUCAGCUGGUCUUCUGACCGGUUUAUUCUUCUGCGGGCAGGCCAGCAUCAGUUUCGGCGGCCGGAUAAAGGCUCUGGGAAUGUGGCUGUCCUUCGGGGCAGUGUUAUAGCCCAGGGUGUA
RNAcentral lists this ribosomal RNA (382 nucleotides) under Aureobasidium sp. Its description in RNAcentral is "partial large subunit ribosomal RNA". It matches the Rfam family "Eukaryotic large subunit ribosomal RNA", at positions 188 to 574 of the family's 3401-position model. The record is from RNAcentral. Lineage: Eukaryota; Fungi; Ascomycota; Dothideomycetes; Dothideales; Saccotheciaceae.